GACACAGUGAGCCAGAGAGGAGCGCGGCAGUCUUAUGUUGUCAUAAUGUUUGAGACAGUUUGGAAGAGAGCAACUUUUAUGUGCAACGCGGGCGAAAUUCAGGAUGCAAAAGAUACCAUUGACAGUCUGCACGUAAACAAGAACUGCAAGAUUUGCUGACCUCAAAGUAAUCUGAAGAGAUGCCUCAAGAUCAACCCAGACAAGGGAUCAAGAGUGGAGAAGAAUGCUACCAGAAAGCAGCUGGCGGUCAGUCCAAAGGUUCUUUCCCUGAUAACAAAAAUUGCGGACUAUGAAUGGAGGGAGUAAAAAAACACUUUUCAGAAGGGAGACCAUUGCAAUCCAAUGUCCCUUGUUCUUUCUCAUGCACAGUUCAUGUUGGUCUCACUACUGUAUUCUUGUGUUCUUUAAUUGUAUAAUGUAUAGAAUUGGUUCACAGUACUGGACAAAGUUACUACUUUAAAAUUAUAGGCUACAGUACCUUCAGUUAAGUUACUGCAAUAGUGGAAGCAAGCAUAACACUGCACCUGGAUUAAAACUUUAUUUUAUCUUUCCAAAACGGGCCAGUUUUUAAAGGCAUCUGAAGUACCAGACAGACUUUUUAAAUUGUAUUGCUUGUUUUUUUGUUUCAAGCCUCUUUAUUUCACUGUGAACAUUAGCCGAACCUACUGUAAACUGUUCUUGAACUCUCGCCCACAAGCAGUCAAUUGUUGGACUGCUAGCAGUAUGUAGCCAUGCCACGUUAAGCUUUGUAAGCAAGUAUGUUGCUAGAGCAGAAACUGUUCUCUAUUCUGAUCUGUUGGUCAACAGAAUAAAAUGAAUGUUGAACAGUAGUAACUGUGUCCUGGUUGUUUUUAAGAGCUGUUAUUGUUAAGCUAAAUCUUUUUAUAAUUUGUCAUUUAACUACUCUGUUAUAGCUCGAUAUUUUUGAAAUUGUCCAUUACA
Sander lucioperca (pikeperch) is the source of this 942-nucleotide long non-coding RNA. RefSeq lists it as uncharacterized. The transcript has 3 exons. Lineage: Eukaryota; Metazoa; Chordata; Actinopteri; Perciformes; Percidae. The record is from RefSeq and is a predicted model, not a curated record.